UCAAGUUAUUAAGGGUGCAGGGCGGAUGCCUUGGCACUAGGAGCCGAUGAAGGACGUGAUAAGCUGCGAUAAGCUUCGGGGAGUUGCACGUAAACUUUGAUCCGAAGAUUUCCGAAUGAGGAAACUCACUUAGAGUAAUGUCUAAGUAUCAUUAAGUGAAUACAUAGCUUAAUGAGGGGAACUCAGGGAACUGAAACAUCUAAGUACCUGAAGGAAGAGAAAGAAAUUCGAUUCCGUAAGUAGCGGCGAGCGAACGCGGAUUAGCCCAAACCAAUAAAGUUUUCUUUAUUGGGGUUGCGGACAUAUCAUAACGAAGAGGUAUCGUAAUUGAAGAGGUUUGGAAAGACCCACCACAGAAGGUAAUAGUCCUGUAUGUUAAACGAGAAGACUUCAGAUAUGAUCCAGAGUACCACGGGACACGUGAAACCCUGUGGGAAGCAGGAGGGACCACCCUCCAAGGCUAAAUACUACCUAGUGACCGAUAGCGUAUAGUACCGUGAGGGAAAGGUGAAAAGAACCCCGGGAGGGGAGUGAAAUAGAACCUGAAACCCUGCACUUACAAGCUGUGGAAGCACAUUUCUUGUGUGACCGCGUACUUUUUGUAGAACGGGCCAACGAGUUACGUUAAGUAGCAAGGUUAAGCACUUAAGGUGCGGAGCCGUAGCGAAAGCGAGUUUUAACUGAGCGUUCAGUUACUUGACGUAGACCCGAAACCGGGCGACCUACCCAUGAGCAGGAUGAAGCGAAAGUAAAAUUUCGUGGAGGUCCGAACCCACGAGCGUUGAAAAGCUCGGGGAUGACUUGUGGGUAGCGGUGAAAUUCCAAUCGAGCCCGGAGAUAGCUGGUUCUCCCCGAAAUAGCUUUAGGGCUAGCCUCAAGGUGAGAGAUACGGAGGUAGAGCACUGAAUGUCCUAGGGGGUAUUGCACCUACCGAAGACUAUCAAACUCCGAAUGCCGUCAUCUUAUACUUGGGAGUCAGACUGUGGGUGAUAAGAUUCAUAGUCGAAAGGGCAACAGCCCAGAUCGUCAGCUAAGGUCCCUAAAUGUAAGUUAAGUGGUAAAGGAUGUGGGAUUGCACAGACAACCAGGAUGUUGGCUUAGAAGCAGCCACUCAUUCAAAGAGUGCGUAAUAGCUCACUGGUCGAGUGAUCCUGCGCCGAAGAUUUCCGGGGCUAAAACUUACUACCGAAGCUACGGCAUCAGUAAUGAUGGGUAGGGGAGCUUCCCAUACGGGUUGAAGCAUGACCGUAAGGACAUGUGGACAGUAUGGGAGUGAGAAUGUUGGCAUGAGUAGCGAGAUGUGGGUGAGAAUCCCACAGGCCGUAAACCCAAGGUUUCCAGGGGAAGGUUCGUCCGCCCUGGGUUAGUCGGGACCUAAGCUGAGGCCGAAAGGCGUAGGUGAUGGACAACAGGUUGAUAUUCCUGUACUACCGAUAACCGUUUGAGAGAAGGGAUGACACAGUAGGAUAAGCUAAGCACACUGUUGGUUAUGUGUGCCCAAGCAUUGAGGCAGUCAAAGUAGGCAAAUCCGCUUUGAUAAUGCUGGGAUGUGAUGGGGAGCGAAAUUUAGUAGCGAAGUAGCUGAUUUCACACUGUCAAGAAAAGUCUCUAUCGAGGUUAAAGGUACCCGUACCGCAAACCGACACAGGUGGGUGAGGAGAGUAUCCUAAGGCCAGCGAGAGAACUGUUGUUAAGGAACUCGGCAAAAUGACCCCGUAACUUAGGGAUAAGGGGUGCCACCAUCAGGUGGCCGCAGAGAAUAGGCCCAAGCGACUGUUUACCAAAAACAUAGGUUUCUGCUAAGUCGCAAGACGAUGUAUAGGAGCUGACGCCUGCCCGGUGCUGGAAGGUUAAGGGGAUCUGUUAGAGCAAUCGAAGCAGUGAACUUAAGCCCCAGUAAACGGCGGCCGUAACUAUAACGGUCCUAAGGUAGCGAAAUUCCUUGUCGGGUAAGUUCCGACCCGCACGAAAGGCGUAACGAUUUGGGCACUGUCUCAACAACAGACUCGGUGAAAUUGUAAUUCCGGUGAAGAUGCCGGAUACCUGCGACAGGACGGAAAGACCCCAUGGAGCUUUACUGUAGCUUGACAUUGGGUCUUGGUACUACAUGUACAGGAUAGGUGGGAGGCUUUGAAACCAGGACGCCAGUUUUGGCGGAGCCAUCCUUGGGAUACCACCCUUGUAGUACUGGGACUCUAACCAUAGGCCAUGAAUCUGGUCUUGGGACACUGUCAGGUGGGCAGUUUGACUGGGGCGGUCGCCUCCCAAAAGGUAACGGAGGCGCUCAAAGGUUCUCUCAGUACGGUCGGAAAUCGUACGUAGAGUGUAAAGGCAAAAGAGAGCUUGAUUGCAAGACAUACAGGUCGAGCAAGGAUGAAAAUCGGACUUAGUGAUCCGGUGGUUCUGCGUGGAAGGGCCAUCGCUCAACGGAUAAAAGCUACCCUGGGGAUAACAGGCUUAUCUCCCCCAAGAGUCCACAUCGACGGGGAGGUUUGGCACCUCGAUGUCGGCUCAUCACAUCCUGGGGCUGUAGUAGGUCCCAAGGGUUGGGCUGUUCGCCCAUUAAAGUGGUACGCGAGCUGGGUUCAGAACGUCGUGAGACAGUUCGGUCCCUAUCCGUCGCAGGCGUAGGAAAUU
This 2637-nucleotide ribosomal RNA is filed under the name Clostridioides difficile. Its description in RNAcentral is "bacterial LSU rRNA". It matches the Rfam family "Bacterial large subunit ribosomal RNA". Lineage: Bacteria; Bacillati; Bacillota; Clostridia; Peptostreptococcales; Peptostreptococcaceae. The record is from RNAcentral.